Molecule: long non-coding RNA, 4382 nt
Filed under: Equus caballus (horse)
Lineage: Eukaryota; Metazoa; Chordata; Mammalia; Perissodactyla; Equidae
Description: lncRNA (ENSECAG00000045146.1)
Source: RNAcentral
CCGGUGUUAAAAUUCCUUCCCCACCCUGUCGUAAAUAUUUAAAAACCUUCCCAUAAAUGCUUGAAGCCCACCAACCAAAGCCUGUCCCAUCAGUGUUUCCGCAGGCCAGCCUGUUCUCCCUAACCCCUUAAAUUUUGCCCCAAAUCCUGAAUGGGGAGACAGAUCUGAGGGCACAUGCCCCUUGUCUCCCUGCAGGUGGAUCUCACAGAAUAAAAGCUGAUGUGUCCCCCACAGACUGAUGCUAUAAUUAAUUGGCUUGUUUAUGUGCAUCGGGCAGAGGACUCCGAGUUUGUGCAGUAACAAUUGGCGCCCCUGGUGGGAUGAAGGUCCUGUGACCACCUGCCAGAAGCUCUGGAAGCCCCAGCAGAGUGUGGGGUCUUUUCAUCGACCCUAAGCGGCCGCCUAGACAAUUUGUCUAGAGGCUUGACUGAUUAGAUUCCUAUUUUGCUGUGGUGUUCCAGGCCCCAAGGCAUUUUUUUUUUCCCCUUUGGGAGAAGAAACAGCUUCUGGAUCAAGACGUCUCUGGGCUCUGGAGGCUCGUUCCUGGCCAUUGCUGACCCUGGACUCAGGUGUAGACGGCCUUGCUUGGCCCCCACGACCGUCCCGCUCUGCCCAUUUCUGUCCGAGAGGCUGAAUGCGAAGCUCGGAGAAGGCGGCCGGCCCUGCUGUCCCAUCAGAGAGGCCUCAGAGGGCCCACAGCCAUUGCCAGGUAGGGUCCCUCCCGGGGCCUUCUGGUUUUCCUCACUCACAGGUGAAGUUGAAGGGAGGGGAUGGGCCAGGCGCAGAACUGAUGCUUUUGUGGUCAAAGUCUUAUGUUUCUCUCCUGGGUGGGGCUCAAGAGGUUUUCCCGAGAACUCUGCACUGUCGGCCUCCAAGCGGGUGCCAGAAUCACGGGUGGCAGAGGAGGGAAAAGUAGACCGUGGAAGGGCCGAGGGUUGAGCCUCACUUGCGUUCAGAUCAGCCGACUCCAAGGACAGGAGGGGUGGGCGCCAGCGGAAAUUCAGCCCAGACGUGAUACUGGGUGCUUCGAGCAUCUGAGGGCUGCCUGGGUCGUCUUGUUCUUCUUUUUCCCAGGCCUUCGUUUGUGUUCUUUUCCUGAUUUCCAUCUUGAGCAGCUUUGGCGCAUCAGGGUUGGCAACUGAGGGGCUAUCCGUCUCUCCCUCCCUAUGUGUGGGGCCUCCCCGGAAUGAGGCUACUGGUCGGUGGCAGGACAGGUGCCCUUGCUGGGACUGGAGGUGUGCUGACCCGGGGAAGAACAAGACCUUGAUCAUGUUCCACCGGGAGAGGAACUCGACGCGCCAGCUCAUGCGGCCGUGGCCUGAGUUGGGAAAUGGCCAACAGGAGUGAGCUGGAGCUGUGCUCAUGGCAGUAGUGUCCAGUGGGAUUCCGGUCAAGUCAGCUGGAGGUUCUGCUGGCAGGGUGGAGGCCAGAGGUAUAGGGGUGUGGGUCAGAGGACUCAGGGAAUGUGCUGGAGUCACGGUGAGAGUAGCACCUGCCACAGGCUUUCCGCAUGGCUGCUGGGCUCUGGCGUAUGCUGUGUUGCUCGCCUCCCCAGGGUAGUCUUGACAUGAUGAGCGAUGGGAGCAUCCCUUGGAAGACAGCCUCCCUGGGGAGCUGCGGGAGACAGGAGGCACCAGCUGCAGCCGGGAGCAGAGGGGCCCGGGACAGCAGGGCAGUCCAGGCGGGGGUGGCCCCUUGGGAGCCAUGGCCCUCCAUGGCCCCACCUCCACUUCACCAAAUUCUCCUGCUCUCCCUCACCGCAGGCCUUUGGCCACCCCUGUCCCCAUGGCUCCCCUCCCAGCUCUGCCCCAAUCUGCCUGCAGCCCUGGGGCCACACCAGAGACUCUGGGAGCAAGAAGUCCGGGAGAGAAGGGCAAGAUCCCUUACCUGUGCGAAAGCGACACCUGGCCCCGCACUUCUGCCAGGCCCUUCCCAGCAGCUCUGGAAGCUAGAAAUCCGGAGACUGGGUCACAGCACUGAAAGCGGGGCGGGGGCGGCGGGGGCGGUGGAUAGGGCUCUUACAGGAGGCUGCGUGCACUGUGCCUUUAGGGGAGUCUGUUGGGAGGUCAGACUGUCGAACCUGGGCACCAGUGUCCAAGGCCACCGGAUCCCUGAUGGGGCUGGCAAGGCUGCUGAUGGGUUGAGCUAUGUCAUUGACCACGCGCUUCCACCUCCACCACAGCCCACAUGCCCCGGCUGGACGAGACCCUGUUCCAGGCCCCUCCUGGCCCGGGCCCUGGUUCCCAGCACAGAAUGUGGCAAGUCCUCAGGUUUUCGUCUCCCUCCCGCAAACCUCCCUGAGUGUUCUGUUUCCUGAGGGACGGGUUCUGCCCCUGGCAUCCUCGAGCCCGUGGAGCUGGGCACUCAGGGACAGGAGAUGGGGGGGCCAGCUCUGGGGCACGGGGCUGAAUGGCAGGAGCUUACCUUUCAAAGCUCCCCUUUUCUUCCUGCUCCUGCUGCUCUUCCCUCUUGGCUCCACUUGACGCUGAAGUGAGAGAAAAAAGAAGCAGCUGUGGGGGCUCCCUCUCCUGUCUCUGGACCAGCCGUGGACACUUAGCGCUUAUGAGGAAGAUGACUGCCUACACUCAGCUCCUGGCGCCCGGGGGUGUUUCUUUCCUUUUACUCAUUUUUGAAGUGGAGACUAGAACAUGAAACGGAUCUUUGGUGUCUUCCUUCUUUGGAGAACGUGAGGAAGGAUGAUUUUCUGUGUGAGACCCACCAUGGAUUUCUUUCAUCACUGUUCCUCUGUUCAAGAAUCACGCACAUUCGCAGACGUCCAGAAGCUUCUGAGCUUCCUCAGGGAGGACUCUGCUUCCCGAGGCCCGAGCCCCACUCCAGACCCUGCCUGGAGGCUCUCGGGGGCUCAGCACUGCCCUCAGAUCAGUCCCGACAGAGGAAAGGCCUGCUCAAGACGCCUGCCCCAGGAAGGCGGUGGGGGAACCAGAGCUCAAGACCUGUCCUCCCACACAGAUCCCACUCAGCAUCCCUUCCUCAGCCUCUGGUCACUGGACUGGGGACUUUCCCUGGAGCCCUCUACCACACCUGGACUCCUGCUCUGAGAUCUUCCGAGGGAAAUCCUCGUGCCCUCUCUAAUCCCUGCUCGCCCAGCCUGGCUUGUCCGUGGAAGGAUGAUGUUGUAUUCUCUGCCAGUUCCGGAGUCCCUCUACUUUGAUUCAGAAUCUUGGAAAUGACAGUGGAACAGAAGAGAGACUCAUCUUCUGGUGGGUCUCUGCCCAGGGUUUCUUACCUUCCUUAUGUUUCUGCGUUCACAAGGUGGUCGUGAGGAUGGAUUCCUCUGCAGGGAGGGAAGGCACAGGAGGAAGAGCCCCAGUCCACACAGGAAGGGGAGGAUGGUCCCAAUCACCCAGGAAGUGGAACUGGAGCUCGGCCAGGUAGCAAAGAGGCUUUUCAGAAACAUGAGAGGAUUCUGCAUGUCUGAAACGCAGUGCUGCCCUCAGGCGACUGAGCUCUGGGAGUGGCUUGGAGAUUAUUACCCCAGGCCCCCAUGACAGAAGUGCGGCCUUGUCACAAAGGGCUCUUGAGGGCUGGGGAGGGGACAGCAGGGGAGCAGGCUGGACCAGAGCCCCUCCCCCACCCUCUAGCCUACGUCUCCCUCCCUCUACCCUCCUGGGCCUUCUAGACCUUAGCUAGUUUUCUAUGUCUUCCCCCUGGAAGCCAGAGGUCACCGGGUUCCUUGCGUCUCCUGGAUUCUUGGUUUGAAGCCAGCUAUCUCAUGGCCUUCGAAAGUCUGAAGUUCUCCCAGGAAUUUGAUCUAGUUCCCAGGGAUUCAUACCCUGAUCCUGCUCUGUCCUCAACUCUGAUUGCUGUUUUCACCUCACCUAGUGACUUUGCGUGUGUGUGUGAGGACACUGAAGUGCCAGUCUCCUAGCUGAUUUCAAUUAUGCAAUUCAGUGUUAUCGACUGUAGUCACCACGCCAGACAUUAGAACCUCCGACGUUUCUCAUCUGAGAGGUGAAAGUUUGUCUCCUUUUACCUGCCUCUCUCUAUUUCCCCCACGCCACAGCCGCUGGCAACCACUUUUCUAUUCUCUGUUUCUAUGAGUUGACCUUUCUUUUAUAGUUUUUCGAGUUCACAUGUAAGUGACCCCAGGCAGUAUCUGUGUUUCUAUGUCUGGCUUGUUUCAUUGAGCAUAACGCCCACCAGGUUCAUCCAUGUUGCACAAAUCUCAACUCCAUUUGUCCACAUAAGGUUUUCGUUUCAUCAAUCUGGAAUUCCCAUUUUAUUUUAUACUUAUUUGGUUUUGAUUAUUAACAUUGUUAUUUUUUCCAUCAACGUUUGCCAUCUUGACUCAGAACGACUCACCCAAAAAUUGAAAUGAAUCAUUUAUUAUUUAACAUAAGCAUAAUAAAUACUUAAGGAAU